CUACUGAUUAUUGAAGUUUUGUGUGUUUUAAUAUAUGCAGAGAGUUGAGGAAAUGCUAUAUUUGUUAUUCUAGGUGCUUUAAAGUAUUCUAGAAGUUAUGUGUUCUUUAACAACUUAUCAAUUUUAUUGAUAAGAUUAGGCAUAGAGUCAUUAAAUAUUUCUUCAGAAUGGGAUUCUAAUAUAACAGAUUCACUACCAUUCAUUGAUGAGACCUUGGGUGUACUAGACUAUGAAAAACUAUACCCAUCUUUACUCUUCCCAUCUAUGUGCCUGGUAUUAUACAAAUUUUUUAUGAAAAAUCUUCAUAACUCUCAUGAAUAUGCUGAUAUCAUAAGAGAUAUUGUCAAUCUCUUAUGUUAUAAAUCAUAUUUUACCUUUAAAGGAAAGAUAUAUAAGCUGACAUGUGGAGGUAUCCAUAAGUGGCCCAAUGGUGGAAUAAUGGCUGAAAUAGUAUUGAGAUUGAUAGAAAAAGAAUGCAUUUGCAAGCUUUAACAUGUAGUUAAAGCUAUAUGUAAGAUAUGUCAAUGAUGUAUUCGUGAUAUGGAAACAAGAUAGAACCCAAGAAUUGAUAUAAUUUUUAAUUGUUCCAAAAUAUAGGAUUAAACUUAAUUUUAGAUCAAAAGAGCAACAACUUCCUAGAUUUAUUAAUGUGUAGUUGAAGGUGCUUAUAUAACUGAUGUUUAUAGAAAAAUCCUUCAUAUGUCACAACAAUAAUAUCAGCAUGGUGAAACAACCUUAGGACCUACAAAAAAGUAUCUUUCCAGGCAUAUUUUAGAUGAAUGCUAACUUUUACUACAGAUGUUACAAAAUGCCAUGAGUUAGCCUUUAUAAUUAAAGGAGUUAAAACAUGGUUACAAAAUUAUAAAGAAAUUCUAAUUAAAUUUAAUACCAACUUCUAUAAAUAGUCAUAUGCAGCAGUUCAAUCCUAGAAGGCAAAAAUAUAUAACUAUGCCUGAUAAUAAAACCUUGUUAAGACCAAUUAGAGCAAUAGGGAAGGAAAUGCAAACUACUAUUAUGGCUAAAAGAAAUCCCACAUCUUUUUUAAGCUUUACAAUGACAAGAUUCCUUUUAUUAAUCAUCAGUGCUUAGGAUCCUUAUUAUCAACAAAACACUCAAUCAGAAGGAAGAAUACAUAGGCCAUCUCUAGAAAUUUAUUGCAAAGAAUUAAAGAACAUCAAGCAGAUAUAAUGAUUAUGUAAAUCUAUAGAAAUUAGACAGCUUCAGCAAUGCAUGAGAAUGAUGUAGAGCAUUGAAAUGGCAAAAUCAUGGCAUUAUUUUGAAUCAUCACUAGGAACUUCACAUCCAAACGUGAGUUAAAAAAAGGUUUUGUAUUGACAUUAUUACUACUUUUCCUUAAACUUUAAUUGCAUUAACCAAGAUUCAGUAUAUAUAAGAAGGCGCAGC
Molecule: long non-coding RNA, 1404 nt
Filed under: Androctonus crassicauda
Lineage: Eukaryota; Metazoa; Arthropoda; Arachnida; Scorpiones; Buthidae
Source: RNAcentral